AUUGAACGCUGGCGGCAUGCCUUACACAUGCAAGUCGAACGGCAGCGGGCCUUCGGGUGCCGGCGAGUGGCGAACGGGUGAGUAAUGCAUCGGAACGUGCCAUUGAGUGGGGGAUAACGUAGCGAAAGUUGCGCUAAUACCGCAUAUUCUGUGAGCAGGAAAGCAGGGGACCGCAAGGCCUUGCGCUCUUUGAGCGGCCGAUGUCAGAUUAGCUAGUUGGUGAGGUAAAGGCUUACCAAGGCGACGAUCUGUAGCGGGUCUGAGAGGAUGAUCCGCCACACUGGAACUGAGACACGGUCCAGACUCCUACGGGAGGCAGCAGUAGGGAAUAUUGGGCAAUGGACGAAAGUCUGACCCAGCCAUGCCGCGUGCAGGAUGACUGCCCUAUGGGUUGUAAACUGCUUUUCUAUGGGAAGAAACACUCAUACGUGUAUGAACUUGACGGUACCAUAGGAAUAAGGAUCGGCUAACUCCG
Molecule: ribosomal RNA, 475 nt
Filed under: uncultured bacterium
Lineage: Bacteria
Description: bacterial SSU rRNA
Rfam family: Bacterial small subunit ribosomal RNA
Source: RNAcentral